This 301-nucleotide unclassified non-coding RNA is filed under the name uncultured fungus. RNAcentral's name for it is "sequence contains ITS2". Lineage: Eukaryota; Fungi. The record is from RNAcentral.
AACGCAUAUUGCGCUCUCUGGCAUUCCGGGGAGCAUGCCUGUUUCAGCAUCAUUUGAACAUCUCAAAAUCAUUCUUUUUUUGGGAAUGGUUUUGGAAUUUGGGCUUUUUGUUGUGGGCAUAUAUUCACAACUCGCCUGAAAUGUGGUUAAAAAUGCAAGAACUUGAUGUAGAUGCGCGGCCGUAAAGACGAAAAGCUAAUUAGUUGACUUUGGUCAAACUUGCUGAAUAGUCUUAGCAACUGUGCAUGCAUACAUUCACAAGAUUGAUCUGAAAUCAGGUAGGAUUACCCGCUGAACUUAA